ACGAUAAACCGCAGACACGCGAUACGCACUACCUCGACGGACAAGUCCUCUAAAGAAAAACCGUCACGCAUGAGGCUGCCCAUCAACCAGGUUUUCUCGGCUGGCGCCAGCAAACGGGAGGUCUUCUUUGCAAUCCUACUCGUACUAUUUAUUAUCUUGCACUGUCAACAGUUCUCCCACACCUUUACAUUUUCAUGAGGUUCCUCCGUGUUCCCCUGCCCCACGAACGGCAUCGCUGCCUCUACUUCACGCUGAUUUGUUGCUUUGCGCCCCCUGAAUCCUCGACCUUGAUCGUGACACGUAGAACGCCGUUGUCCAUUGCCGCACUGAUUCCGUCGGGCUUGUAAUUACUCGGGAGCUGGAACCGGCGCGCAAAAUAACCGGACACUCGCUCAGUCAAAAUGUUCUUUGUUUUGCCAUCGUCCACUUUCUCCGCUUCUUUCGAGGUCUUCUCUCCUGCCAGGGCAGCACGGAGCAACGCGAUUCCGUCGUCAUGCACGAAAAAAAUCACCUGGUUAAAGCGGAAUCUUCAGCGCUGCCUGCUGUCCCCAGUUCUAUCAGAGAAAGCUUACGUGCCAUCUUCAUUCGGCUAAGCUUCUUGUGCCUUUUUUGUAACAUCUACAACUGGGGCUACAAGUUUGCACUGCAAGAUUCCUUUCCUUCCAGAUCCAUUUUCUACUACCACAGUUUAUUACGAUAGCCACAGGUGCCGAGACAGUCAACGAGCUUUUGUCCUCAGUGCAACAUGUCCACUGAACUCAAAUACGUUUACGUCCCCGAUACUCGUGUACAGUGGUGUAUGUCUUCUGUGCCGGCGCCUCGUCAGCAAGCACGUUCCGAUAACGCAUGCACGUUGUGCAUCUGACGGAUACACCGUCGACAGACG
This 886-nucleotide long non-coding RNA is filed under the name Toxoplasma gondii VEG. The record is from RNAcentral. Lineage: Eukaryota; Apicomplexa; Conoidasida; Eucoccidiorida; Sarcocystidae.